GCCGCAUCCAUCCAGCACGCUCCAGACCUAACCCCAUGUCGGCGAAGGUGAAGUGAACAACGAUGACGGACGAUCCCAGAGAUCCGGAUUAGCACCAUGACGACGCGCGCGUCCCACUCCUCCGACCAUGAACCCGAGCGGCAAAGCCCAUGAAGACUUGGCGGCGCUGCGGGUAGAACCGGCGUCCCAGGCGAGCUACAUCCAAGAUGGUCGCCGCGCUUUUGCCCUCCCUCCACACCCGUUGUUCCUUCCCUGCAGGAGACACGGGUUGGCUCAGCCGGAGUGGUUCCUCCUCCUCCCUUCUCGCUCUGUAGGUGGAGAAUGUUUUUCACUAAGGGUGUGGGCGACUGGUCAGGCCGAUCGAUGUUGAAAGUGCUUCCUUAUGGUGGUUCUUAUUCUUCUAUCUAUUGGGCAUGCGACAAAAGGACAUGUAUGCAUCAUGUCAGCUGGUACAGAUCUGCAUCUAUAGAUGAGUGCAUGUGCUCUGAAUUGUUGGGUUUGAUCUAUGUUCUGCUGGGUGUUGGGUUCUCUCUUGCCGCUCCAGUCGGCCAGGUUAGUAUCCAAGUCAUAUUACUAUGUAAUGCCACUCGUGAGUGUGACUUUGAUUGAAAUAAAAUAGCACUAGCUACCGGCUGUUGUUUUUGCUGUAUGCAAGUUUGUUCACAAAAAAUGAGCAAAUGAAAUAUUAAAUGUUGUAGAUACUUAGCAAAGCAAACUUCACAGCGAUGAAAACGACAACAUCUUGACUAUACAUAUAAGAUAUUGAUCGUUAAUCGAGCAUAAAAUAGAAGGGUUGUGUAAGCAAGAUGAAGAUAUUAACUGUGUAUUGGAUCAGACUAUUGUUACAAAAGUAAUGCAUAUGUGAACCCACUUGUGAAACAAUUCAUGCUUGCUAGAGAUCAAAUUAGGGGCCGUCCUGAGUAAUAUGUUGCAAUUAGAGUAAUUGGCUCCAUAGCUUGACUGCACCACUAUCUCUUAACAUUUUUCUUUCCACGAAAAUCUCUCAACGAUAUUAUAUUCUAUGUCCAUAUGAUGUAGCAUUGCAGUAUGUGUUUCAUUUGGUCGUUCAGCUUUGCCAACUUUUGGUGAUUUAUAGUUUUUUUUUUUUUGCGUAAGCCUAUUGCUAUCUCUACAGGUUGUGUGUUUUUAAAAGAAAAAGUGACUAUCUUUGGUAAAUGAUAUUAACUAUAGCUUUCAGUAUCCUUGAAAUGUUCGUUUGUCUCUAACAUGCUCAUGUCCCCCCCCCCUAAAAAACAUGCUCAUGUUUUUAUUUAAUACAACCAUGGCGCAUGAAUGGAGAGCCAGGGGGCUCCCGAUUUGAUGAUAAGUGUUAUGAUAACAAGAUGACCCAAUUGUUGUGAGUCACUUCUCUACCAAUUUUAUUAUGUAAGGUUAUAAUAAGCUUUCUCUCUUAUUCUCUGAUACCAUCUACUGAUACAAAGUUGAUACCAAGGAGUUUGCCACUUCAUAUGCUUGAAAUGCAUGAGUAUUACUGACGUGAAGUUUCAAGAGAAUCUUUUCUUUAUGAUGCAGUUAAACAAUCCGUUUCCUUAUCUGCAUGACCUAUGCUAACAUUCAAGAAAUAUAUGAUACUAAGAAAUGUGCUGUCAUGAUCAACUAUGCAUAAAUUUAUGUUUAAAACAUUCAUGAUGGUGGGAACUAUAUUUUGAGGAACA
This is a long non-coding RNA of Triticum dicoccoides, 1676 nucleotides long. RefSeq lists it as uncharacterized. The transcript has 4 exons. NCBI's taxonomy places the organism in Eukaryota, Viridiplantae, Streptophyta, Magnoliopsida, Poales, Poaceae. The record is from RefSeq and is a predicted model, not a curated record.